GCAUCCGUGGAGUAGUAGUUAACUUAUUCCUCCCCCACUCCGCCUCGGUGGUCAAGUGGUAAAGGAAAGACCCGGGUGCAAAUCCCGGCGGAUGCA
Molecule: non-coding RNA, 96 nt
Organism: Daldinia bambusicola
Lineage: Eukaryota; Fungi; Ascomycota; Sordariomycetes; Xylariales; Hypoxylaceae
Source: the annotation of a GenBank genome assembly